This is an RNA transcript of Pyrus x bretschneideri (Chinese white pear), 2668 nucleotides long. It is a transcript of the gene named neuroguidin-like, with no coding region annotated. The transcript is spliced from 9 exons. Lineage: Eukaryota; Viridiplantae; Streptophyta; Magnoliopsida; Rosales; Rosaceae. The record is from RefSeq and is a predicted model, not a curated record.
AUAAAUAAAUAAAACCUCUCAAUCAUUUCGACGAUAAAUAAAUACAACCUCUAAAAAAAAAAAGAAAAAGAAAACGAAACCUAAAACCUCAAUAAAACCUCUCAAUCCAGCCUCUCUUCCUAUCGCAGGCAACGACUCAAGCUUCUCUCUUCCUCCUCUUCUUCUUCUGAUUCAUCUUCUUUCUCUCCCAUCGAGCUUUACGUUUUGACGAUCUUUAGGGUUUUGAAAUCUGAAGCUUCAAAACCAUGGAAGACGCUUCAAAUUCAAACCCAAUGUCUGAAAAUAGAGUAAAGCAAGAAGCUCCCCAGCUUGCUGCUUUGUUGAGAGAAAUGAAGGAAGGAUUAGAUACAGUGAGGGCAAAAGUCCAAGCUUUAACUGCAAAGGUGAAAGCAAAUAAUUAUCCGACAGCAGACGGGAUAAGCUAUCUUGAAGCCAAGCAUUUGCUGCUUCUAAACUAUUGCCAGUCACUUGUCUAUUACUUACUUCGUAAGGCUAAAGGGUUUUCAAUAAAUGGGCAUCCUGUUGUUCGUAGCCUUGUGGAGAUAAGGUUGUUUCUGGAAAAGAUUCGACCCAUUGACAAGAAGCUCCAGUACCAAGUUGAGAAGCUCACCAAGGUUACUACGAGCACAACCGAAGAUGUAGGGCCAAGUGGGAAGGAACCACAACCCAAUGUGCCUCAGCAAACAGAUGAUUUGCUGAGAUACCGCCCUAACCCUGACAUGCUUGUUAGCAAAACAGAUGUGAAUUCUAAGGAUGGUAAGGAUGUGUAUCGACCUCCCAAAUUUGCCCCGACUUUGAUGGAGGAAGAUAAGUUGUCAAAGCAGGAAAAAAAUGCAUUGAGAAGGGAUAAGAAUACUUUACGACAAGCUAAGCAGAGUGCUUAUGUGAGGGAACUGGUGGAUGAUUUGGAGGGGAGGCCUGAAGAGAUUGUAGAAAGUGUUGGAGCUGAAAGCAUAGAACUAGCGAGAUACAGGGCAAAGAGGGAUGAACGUGAACGGCAAGAAGAGGAACUUUUCAUGCGUGCUCCUAUUACAAAGAAGGAGAAACAGAGAGAAAAACACUUAAAGAAAUCAAGAAAUGGGUUGCUUGGUUUGACGGAGAAUUUCUAUGAUGAAAUUAAGGGUUUACCCUUGGACGAUGAGAAUGAUGAGCAGGUUGCAAGCUCCCGCAGUGCUAGGGGUGGAAUGGGGAGGCAUAAGAAGCGCAAGAUGAGGCGUUGAAGGAAUAGCGUAUGCCGAGCUUGACAACGCCCAACAAUUUAUUUGCCGGGCCAAGCUCCGAUUGCUCCAGUAGCAUGAAAUAGCUUUCCUACAAAUCUCAAGUGUUUUUCUUUUGGCGGCAGUGUGUGCUGAUUGGAACGCUGGAGGGUUCCAACUUCCAAGCAGGGUAAUGUCAAGCUGUCAACUUAUGCACUUGAUGUGGUCAUAUUAUCAGGUAAUAUAACCCUCCCUCUUCCUUGGGAGUCCUCCUCUCCUUUCUUUUUGUCUUUAUUUUAUUUAUUAAUUUAUAUAAACUCCUAUUUUACUAUCUAAAUCAAACUCGAAACGUCUGUAACUUCUUUGUUAUCGUCUGGAUUUGCAAACAAUUUCGCCUAUGCACUCGUGUGAUCGCACUCUAUUCGAAAAUAUUAGGAGUGAUCCCCCGAAGAUCUACGGAUUUUAUAUGAUUAUUUUCGAAAAAUCAAUUUGUAACUAAGUAAUUAAAAUCUAAAAUAAAUUAAAUUAGAUUAAAUUCACAUAAUAAUAUAAAAGCCCAUAAAUAUGAAAUACGUAAAUUAUAAUAGUGAAAUCCAGGAACGGGUUUUCACAUUGGGGGUGUUUGAUGAGCCGAUAUUAUACUAUAUAUUUUACUGUAUGUUUUGGUAUUUAUUUUGGUUGAAUUUUUAUACUUUGAUUUAUAUUUCAAAUAUAGGACAUUCAACUUCAUCUUGAGAAAAAAGUAUUCAAAUGGAUGAAUUUUGGAGUGAUUUCAUUAAAAUGAUGUUUCUGAGUCUCUCAACUUGUUUGUCUCAAAGUUACAAAUUUUUCUAAGGAAAACUAAUGAAGGGGGUUUGAAAACAUUGAAUUUUAACGAUAAGGACAAAAUAAAAGGUAAAGUGAAUAGUAUCAUGAUUGACCUUUUAGUGUAAAAAUAUGGUUUUUCGUUAAAGUGAACAGUACCAGGAGCUUUUUGUUAAAGUUCCCAUUUUUCUAUCCAUCAAUUUAUUUAUAGUGAUGAAAUCAAAAGGAGCAGUGUGUAGGGUUGUUAAAGUGACGUUUUGAGCUUAUUUGGGCUUUGUGGCGUCCAAGAUGGUGUCUUUUGCUAUUGGUUUCCUCUUGGAACUUGGAGAGGAUGUCCUAAGCUUUAAUUCAAGUAGUUUUGGGCCUGAUUUGUAGCCUUGAGGUCUAGAAACGUGGCUGAUUUUUGGCUGGGCAAAUUUCCAUAUUUGAUUAGGAUUAUGUUUAUUAGUUUCUCUUUUUCCAUUUUGUUUCCUAGUUUUUGAAAGAUCUGUUCUAGGAAGUAUUUUAUUUUGUAGGAGUAUAGAUAAAGCUGUUUAGCCAUUUGGGUUUUGAACGCAUCAAUUUGGAGAAUUAUGCUAGGCUUUGACGAUUUGUAUUCUUCUCUCAAGAUGUUUUCUAUCCUUUUUCUAGUUCAAUAAAAUUCCUUUUGUUUUAUGAUUUUUUGUAAC